AACGUAGGACGCAAGCGUUAUCCGGAGUUACUGGGCGUAAAGCGCGGGCAGGCGGUUCCUUAAGUCUGAUGUGAAAUCUCCCGGCUCAACCGGGAGCAGCCAUUGGAAACUAGGGAACUGGAGGGCGAGAGAGGUAGGCGGAAUUCCGGGUGGAGUGGUGAAAUGCGUAGAGAUCCGGAGGAACACCAGAGGCGAAGGCGGCCUACUGGCUCGCACCUGACGCUGAGCCGCGAAAGCCAGGGGAGCGAACGGGAUUAGAAACCCCGGUAGUCCUGGCCGUAAACGAUGUGUGCUGGGUGGUGGGGGGUCUCCCUUCACUGCCGAAGCUAACGCGAUAAGCACACCGCCUGGGGAGUACGGUCGCAAGGCUAAA
Molecule: ribosomal RNA, 373 nt
Filed under: uncultured bacterium
Lineage: Bacteria
Description: bacterial SSU rRNA
Rfam family: Bacterial small subunit ribosomal RNA
Source: RNAcentral